AUAGAUACCCGGGUAGUCCCAGCUGUAAACGAUGCAGACUCGGUGAUGAAUUGGCUUAUUGCUAAUUCAGUGCCGCAGGGAAGCCGUUAAGUUUGCCGCCUGGGGAGUACGGUCGCAAGACUGAAACUUAAAGGAAUUGGCGGGGGGAGCACCACAAGGGGGUGAAGCCUGCGGUUCAAUUGGAGUCAACGCCGGAAAUCUUACCGGGGGGCGACAGCAGAGUGAAGGUCAAGCUGAAGACUUUACCAGACAAGCUGAGAGGAGGUGCAUGGCCGUCGCCAGCUCGUGCCGUGAGGUGUCCUGUUAAGUCAGGUAACGAGCGAGAUCCCUGCCUCUAGUUGCUACCAUUAUUCUCAGGAGUAGUGGAGCUAAUUAGAGGGACCGCCGUCGCUGAGACGGAGGAAGGUGGGGGCUACGGCAGGUCAGUAUGCCCCCGAAACCCUCGGGCCACGACGCGGGCUGCAAUGGUAAGGACAAUGAGUUUCGAUUCCGAAAGGAGGAGGCAAUCUCUAAACCUUAACCACAGUUAUGAUUGAGGGCUGAAACC
This 547-nucleotide ribosomal RNA is filed under the name uncultured bacterium. RNAcentral describes it as "bacterial SSU rRNA". It matches the Rfam family "Archaeal small subunit ribosomal RNA", at positions 729 to 1268 of the family's 1478-position model. The record is from RNAcentral.